Molecule: long non-coding RNA, 708 nt
Filed under: Durio zibethinus
Lineage: Eukaryota; Viridiplantae; Streptophyta; Magnoliopsida; Malvales; Malvaceae
Description: long non-coding RNA (DZIB_LNC000997)
Source: RNAcentral
CAAGCUAGAAUAGUCCCUUAUAAAUAGACUUGAGUUCACUGUGAAUCAACAGACAACUAUCAGAAGAGAAAUACACAAAAAGUGAGAGAAAAAAAAAGCAGAAAAUAGCAAUAAAGAAUUUUUGGAAAUUUUGGAGUUGUGAGAGUUUGGUUUAGUCUAGUCAGUGUUGUUGGAGGAAUUCAGCAGCCCGGAAAUUUUGAAUUAGUGUUUUAUUGACAAUUUUUUUGGAAACUUUUGAAAAGUUUUUGAAAUUUCAAAUUUUACGAUUGAAUUUUCAAAUGAGAUUCCGACAAAAUCUCUAGUUUUCAAUAAGGAUUUCUAAUUUCUACCGACGUUUCGGCAAAAAUCCAGAUCUCAAUAAAUUCUCACAACAGAAGUAUUUUUUAGUAAGAAUUUACUGAAUUUGACCACCAGCGUUCAUCCUUUUAGAGAGAGAGACAAAGUAAAUUAAGGGAAGAAAGAGACGUGAAGAGAAAUUUUGAAAAAAAGAGAAGGUUUGUUAUAUCAUUAAAAUAACGACGCUGUUUUGAAACUAAAAAAGCUAAAGUUCACGUGUUUUUCCAUUUAGCCGAUCUAACCUGUGUCGUUCAACUCGACUUGAAACCCGUUUCAGUUGCUAUUGCCCAAGUCUAGCCGAGUUGUGAUCUAAGCCACAUCAGCGGAUUUGUGUUCCUGCAAUCAUGCUGUUUCCAAGCCGAGCUGAGUCCA